UGACACCAAAGCUAAGAGCCCAAUCAAGCAGGAGAGACCACCCUCCCCUGUACCCAGCUGUGUGUCCAUGAAGAGUGACCAGUCUAUGAGUCCUCCUAUAUUCUUCAGAGAGGGAGACUUUUCUACUGAACAAAGAAACCAACAGGAGAGAUCAGAGUCAAAUAUUCGCAGUGGUCAGUUUUCCCAGAGUCAUCAAACAGACCUGGCCUCCAUAUUCAGUUUGCUUGAAGAGAAUAUUAUGACAUUUGUGAAGAACGAG
Coregonus clupeaformis (lake whitefish) is the source of this 259-nucleotide long non-coding RNA. RefSeq lists it as uncharacterized. The transcript is spliced from 4 exons. NCBI's taxonomy places the organism in Eukaryota, Metazoa, Chordata, Actinopteri, Salmoniformes, Salmonidae. The record is from RefSeq and is a predicted model, not a curated record.